This 155-nucleotide ribosomal RNA is filed under the name uncultured bacterium. Its description in RNAcentral is "partial 16S ribosomal RNA". It matches the Rfam family "Bacterial small subunit ribosomal RNA", at positions 1348 to 1500 of the family's 1533-position model. The record is from RNAcentral.
AUCAGCACGCCGCGGUGAAUACGUUCCCGGGCCUUGUACACACCGCCCGUCACACCAUGAGAGUCUGUAACACCCAAAGCCGGUGGGAUAACCUUUAUAGGAGUCAGCCGUCUAAGGUAGGACAGAUGAUUAGGGUGAAGUCGUAACAAGGUACC